This is a long non-coding RNA of Priapulus caudatus, 89 nucleotides long. RefSeq lists it as uncharacterized. The record is from RefSeq and is a predicted model, not a curated record. The transcript is spliced from 3 exons. Lineage: Eukaryota; Metazoa; Priapulida; Priapulimorpha; Priapulimorphida; Priapulidae.
GACGCUCGCGUGUAUCGACGAUGAUGACGUUACCCGGUUCAAAGUAGAUUAGUUGUAGCAAUGAAUAAUGAAACUCCAAACUCCAAGCA